UUCGGGGAUGUAAAGUAAGGCUAAAUUUUGCUUAGGGGUUAAGUGGAUAUAGUAAAUAGGUGAGGGGAGUAAAAUGAAAGUACAAAACACAUGCAGUUAGUUCUACACAAAGAUUAGAAUGUUGAUCAAAUGAUCUCAUUGCAUUUCUUUUAAAGAGAUGUUUUAUUUGUGGGCCCAUUUAUAUAGCAAGGGAAAGGAAGCAAAGAGGACAAAGUUUUACGGAGUUUAAUCAUACGGCCCCCACUCUGCGGUCAGCGCAUACGGCGUAAGCUGGUAAGCAACAAACCUAAAACCGCAACCCCACUCUCAAUGAAUUCCUGGAUAAUUACUGUUUCGGCGGUAUCCAGUGAGCAGUUCCUAAUGCCCAUGGGCAAAAGCCAGAAUACAGCAUCACCAGUGUUACCUCCUUUGCAGAUUUUCAGUAUAGGGUCAACUUUAUUAUUUUAGUGAACAUGACCUCAUUAAACCAUAGUUUGUGAUUUUGAU
Molecule: long non-coding RNA, 486 nt
Filed under: Setaria viridis
Lineage: Eukaryota; Viridiplantae; Streptophyta; Magnoliopsida; Poales; Poaceae
Description: long non-coding RNA (SVIR_LNC008178)
Source: RNAcentral